RNAcentral lists this ribosomal RNA (988 nucleotides) under Holcosus undulatus (rainbow ameiva). RNAcentral's name for it is "partial 16S ribosomal RNA". It matches the Rfam family "Bacterial large subunit ribosomal RNA", at positions 850 to 2595 of the family's 2925-position model. The record is from RNAcentral. Lineage: Eukaryota; Metazoa; Chordata; Lepidosauria; Squamata; Teiidae.
UGGUUGUCCAACAAAUGAAUUUAAGUUCAACCUUAGGCUAUUACCCAUUAAGCCAUAUUACUCGGCCACAAUCAACCUAAGAUAUAGUCAAUGAGGGCACAGCUUCAUUGAACAGGAUACAACCAUUUUUAGAGACAAACUAUUAAAUUACCUCUUGUAGGCCUUUAAGCAGCCAACAAAAACCAAAUGCGUCACAGCAACCCAACCACACUAAUACCACAAUAUCACCUUCAACUCCUACUUAAUAUUGGACAAAUCUACCCCCAUAGAAAUACCUAUGUUAAAACUAGUAAUAAGAAAAAUUCUCUACCGCACAAGCAAACACUAACAGACAUUCACCUAUUGAACCCAAUAUUCUACAAGAAAAACCUAAUUAUCCAAACUGUUAGCCCAACCCAGGAGUGCAAAAAGAAAGAUUAAAAGUUACAAAAGGAACUCGGCAACCAAGGUCCCAACUGUUUACCAAAAACAUAGCCUUUAGCCCAAUAAGUAUUAAAGGUGACGCCUGCCCAGUGAUUUUUUCAACGGCCGCGGGAUCCUACACCGUGCAAAGGUAGCAUAAUCACUUGUCACCUAAAUAGUGACUAGUAUGAAUGGCCCCAUGAGGACCUUCCUGUCUCUUGUAACCAAUCAAUGAAACUGAUCUUUCAGUUCAAAAGCUGAAAUAAACCCACAAGACGAAAAGACCCUGUGGAACUUCCAAGUAUUAAUCAUCAUCAUGACAAAAUACUUUUAGUUGGGGCAACUUUGGAACAAAACAAAACUUCCAAUCAAUAGACAUCACCACCAUAAUAUAGGUUCACCAACCAAGAUUUUUCUAUAAUCUGACCCAGCACCGCUGAUUAAAGAAACAAGCUACCCCAGGGAUAACAGCGCCAUCCCCUCAUAGAGUCCCAAUCGACGAGCGGGGCUUACGACCUCGAUGUUGGAUCAGGGCCCCCAAACAGUGCAGAAGCUGUUAAUGGUUUGUUUGUUCAACAAGGAUGCC